This 1386-nucleotide ribosomal RNA is filed under the name Triticum aestivum (bread wheat). RNAcentral's name for it is "partial small subunit ribosomal RNA". The record is from RNAcentral. Lineage: Eukaryota; Viridiplantae; Streptophyta; Magnoliopsida; Poales; Poaceae.
AUGGCCCCUACUAAUGAGCAGGCUCCUCCACCAUCAUUGUCAUUUAGCCCACCAUCAAUAGCUCCUACUACACCUCCACCCUACCAACCUAGUGAUCAAUCCCCUCCACCGCCGUCAUCAUCUAGUCCUCCACCACUAGCUCCAGCCACCCCACAAACUCCUCCAUCUAGUCCCCCUGCUACAUCUCCACCCUACGAGCCUAGCGAUCAACCACCACCGCCACAUUGCCCUAAGCCCGGACGUGGUCCAAAUCCCCAUGGCGGUGAUGGCCAUAGUAAUAAUGGUCGUGGACCACCAGAAAAGGAUUGCAGUGAAGCAGAGACAUCACCGCCAUCACCUGAGCCAUCCCCAAACCAAGGUAAUGGUUCGCCAUCACCACCGCCACCCCAAUCUUAUUAUCCACCCAUGGCUCCACCUCCAUUAGAUUCUAGUCCUCCUACACCACCACCACCAUACCAAACUAGUGAUCAAUCCCCUCCACCCCCAUCAUCCUCUAGCCCCCCACCACUAGCUCCAGCCACCCCACAAACAUCUCCAUCUAGUCCCCCUGUUACACCUCCAACAUACGAACCUAACUAUCAACCGCCACCGCUUCCAUUGAAUCCUCCAUCCAUUAGCCCACCACCUCCGUCUAGCCCACCUACAACACCUCCAAUGGCCCCGACUAAUGAGCAACCUCCUCCACCAUCAUCGUCAUCUAGCCCCCCACCAGUAGCUCCUACUACACCACCACCGUACCAAACUAGUGAUCAAUCCCCUCCACCACCAGCAUCAUAUAGUCCCCCACCACUAGCUCCAGCCACCCCACAAACACCUCCAUAUAGUUCCCCUGUUACACCUCCAAGUUAUGAACCUAACUAUCAACCGCCACCGCCUCCACUGAAUCCUCCAUCCGUUCCAACACCACCUCCAUCCAGCCUUCCUGCAACACCUCCAAUGUCCCCGGCUAAUGAGCAGCCUCCUCCACCAUCGCCAUCAUCACCAUUAAGUCCACCUGCCACACCUCCAACGUACCAAGCUAACCAACCACCGCCGUCGGCACUGACACCACCACCACCUAGUCCUUCAGCAACAACGUCACCACCUGGUCCCCCUACCGGUACUAAUGGAUGGGUGCAAGUUCAUAACUUCCGUGACACUUUGUACUGGCAAAUCGCGCGCUUUGCGGUAUUAAUGCACAAGUUGGUAUACAAGAAGGAGAUGACCCUUGUCGAUGUGUUGUAUGUGAGCAUGCAGCCUUCGGGAAUUGGCAACAACUACUUUCUUGAGAUAAAAGCUGCGGAUGAAAACAAUAAGGUCGGCAGGUAUCAAGUGCUCGUAUGGGGUGUGCCUGGGUCAACAGCUCAACCAUGGAAAGUACUGUCAUUUAAAUUUAUAGGAUACUAA